This 756-nucleotide long non-coding RNA is filed under the name Felis catus (domestic cat). RNAcentral's name for it is "lncRNA (ENSFCAG00000043323.2)". The record is from RNAcentral. Lineage: Eukaryota; Metazoa; Chordata; Mammalia; Carnivora; Felidae.
AUGCAAAGUCAAGAGGGAGAGUCAUCUCUCCCUGGCGGGGCCACACUGCCUUCCGGCCCCCCUUCUCCUUUGCUAAUGACCCCGGCACCUGUCUGGCAGUCAGCAGCUCGCACUGACUUCCUGCCAUGGCUCCCGCAGACGAAAAAGUGGCUCCGCCAGGGCCAGAGUCAGGCCCGGCACACUCUUCACCCACUUCUCCUCGGCGUCCCCUCCCGCCGUACGCUCCCUCUUGAGCUUGUCCAUACGGUGCGGGGCCAUCGAUCACGUCCCCGAUCUCUGCCUGCGGGCCGGGCCGGGCCCCGGGAUGGGGGCACGGCCCCCAGGAGCACGGGUGUGAGCUGGCCAUCGUUUCAGGCUCACGAACGCUCCGCAGGCUCCUUUGCCGGUUGCCAGCUCCGGGCUUCGCGUGCUGGAAACAUCUUGAGCAAAAUGUCACGGAGAGCAUCUCGGCAGUGUCCCGCUGGCCGAGGACACGGGGCUGCCGAGCGCGCCAUCUGCCCGCAGCCUCUUGGAGGUAAUUGUAUCAGAAUCUCUCGCGUCCUGGAACAAGGGGGAUGUCAAAUGCACUUUCCUUCCUCUAGGAAGGUGAUUCUUUCCCCCAGGAGGCUCGGGGAAUGCUGGGAGUUUUUUGCCAUCCUGCCGAAAGGGAAGAAGGGACCCGAAAUGCCGCGUGAAAUGGAUUCACCGAGCCCGUGCCUGGGAAGCAGCCCCGCCCGUUCCUUUUCAAGACCCAGCGCCGCCGUGGCCUGACAAGCG